Molecule: unclassified non-coding RNA, 343 nt
Filed under: soil metagenome
Description: partial contains 5.8S ribosomal RNA, internal transcribed spacer 2, and large subunit ribosomal RNA
Rfam family: 5.8S ribosomal RNA (bases 1-120)
Source: RNAcentral
GAUGAAGAACGUAGCGAAACGCGAUAAGUAAUGUGAAUUGCAGAAUUCAGUGAAUCAUCGAAUCUUUGAACGCACAUUGCGCCCGCCAGCAUUCUGGCGGGCAUGCCUGUUCGAGCGUCAUUUCAACCCUCGACCUCCCCUUGGGGAGGUCGGCGUUGGGGACCGGCAGCACACCGCCGGCCCUGAAAUGGAGUGGCGGCCCGUCCGCGGCGACCUCUGCGCAGUAAUACAGCUCGCACCGGGACCCCGACGCGGCCACGCCGUAAAACACCCAACUUCUGAACGUUGACCUCGAAUCAGGUAGGACUACCCGCUGAACUUAAGCAUAUCAAUAAGCGGAGGA